UGGUGAUCUUGGUUGGUUCCUUUGUGAAAUGUGACUUGCUGUAUAAUAAACAUUUGAAUCUAAGUGAUUCGAGAGUGGGCAGUUCGGAGGGCAAAAAUCUGUGUUGGUUGAUCUUUGUGAUCAAGAUUGAUUCCUGUGUGGAAUAGUGUUUGCUAUUGUUGUUAUAGCAAAGAUAAGUCCUGUACUUGAUUCUUUGUUGUAAAUUGCUGGAAUAUUAUUGUAAUCUG
RNAcentral lists this long non-coding RNA (227 nucleotides) under Olea europaea (common olive). Its description in RNAcentral is "long non-coding RNA (OEUR_LNC009572)". Lineage: Eukaryota; Viridiplantae; Streptophyta; Magnoliopsida; Lamiales; Oleaceae. The record is from RNAcentral.